GACGAACGCUGGCGGCGUGCUUAACACAUGCCAGUCGAACGGAAAGGCCCUGCUUUUGUGGGGUGCUCGAGUGGCGAACGGGUGAGUAACACGUGAGUAACCUGCCCUUGACUUUGGGAUAACUUCAGGAAACUGGGGCUAAUACCGGAUAGGAGCUCCUGCUGCAUGGUGGGGGUUGGAAAGUUUCGGCGGUUGGGGAUGGACUCGCGGCUUAUCAGCUUGUUGGUGGGGUAGUGGCUUACCAAGGCUUUGACGGGUAGCCGGCCUGAGAGGGUGACCGGCCACAUUGGGACUGAGAGACGGCCCAGACUCCUACGGGAGGCAGCAGUGGGGAAUAUUGCACAAUGGGCGGGAGCCUGAUGCAGCAACGCCCGUGCGGGAUGACGGCCUUCGGGUUGUAAACCGCUUUCGCCUGUGACGAAGCGUGAGUGACGGUAAUGGGUAAAGAAGCACCGGCUAACUACGUG
RNAcentral lists this ribosomal RNA (467 nucleotides) under uncultured bacterium. RNAcentral describes it as "partial 16S ribosomal RNA". It matches the Rfam family "Bacterial small subunit ribosomal RNA", at positions 28 to 507 of the family's 1533-position model. The record is from RNAcentral.